GUGUAUAAGUCUCUUGGAACAGAGCGUCAUAGAGGGUGAGAAUCCCGUCUUUGACACGGACUACCAAUGCUUUGUGAUACACUCUCAAAGAGUCGAGUUGUUUGGGAAUGCAGCUCAAAAUGGGUGGUAAAUUCCAUCUAAAGCUAAAUAUUGGCGAGAGACCGAUAGCGAACAAGUACCGUGAGGGAAAGAUGAAAAGCACUUUGGAAAGAGAGUUAAACAGUACGUGAAAUUGCUGAAAGGGAAACGAUUGAAGUCAGUCGCGUUAGCUAGAACUCAACCAGGCUUGCUUGGCGUAUUUUCUAGUUAACGGGCCAGCAUCAGUUUUGACCGCAGGAAAAAGGCCAGAGAAAUGUGGCACCCUCGGGUGUGUUAUAGUCUUUGGUCAUAUACUGCGAUUGGGACUGAGGUUCGCAGCACGCGCAAGCUGUGCUUAGGAUGCUGGCGUAAUGGCUUUAAACGACCCGUCUUGAAACACGGACCAAGGAGUCUAACAAACCUGCGAGUAUUUGGGUGGUAAACCCGAGUGCGCAAUGAAAGUAAAAGUUGGGAUCCCUGUCGUGGGGAGCACCGACGCCCGGACCAGACCUUCUGUGACGGAUCUGCGGUAGAGCAUGUUUGUUGGGACCCGAAAGAUGGUGAACUAUG
This 648-nucleotide ribosomal RNA is filed under the name Termitomyces sp. RNAcentral describes it as "eukaryotic LSU rRNA". It matches the Rfam family "Eukaryotic large subunit ribosomal RNA", at positions 177 to 835 of the family's 3401-position model. Lineage: Eukaryota; Fungi; Basidiomycota; Agaricomycetes; Agaricales; Lyophyllaceae. The record is from RNAcentral.